CCUACGGGAGGCAGCAGUAGGGAAUCUUCCACAAUGGGCGAAAGCCUGAUGGAGCAACGCCGCGUGGGUGAAGAAGGUUUUCGGAUCGUAAAACCCUGUUGUUAGAGAAGAAAGUGCGUGAGAGUAACUGUUCACGUUUCGACGGUAUCUAACCAGAAAGCCACGGCUAACUACGUGCCAGCAGCCGCGGUAAUACGUAGGUGGCAAGCGUUAUCCGGAUUUAUUGGGCGUAAAGGGAACGCAGGCGGUUUUGUAAGUCUGAUGUGAAAGCCUUCGGCUUAACCGGAGAGGGGCAUUGGAAGCUGGGAGACUUGAGUGCAGAAGAGGAGAGUGGAACUCCAUGUGUAGCGGUGAAAGGCGUAGAUAUAUGGAGGAACACCAGUGGCGAAAGCGGCUCUCUGGUCUGUAACUGACGCUGAGGUUCGAAAGCGUGGGGAGCAAACAGGAUUAGAUACCCGAGUAGUC
RNAcentral lists this ribosomal RNA (465 nucleotides) under uncultured bacterium. Its description in RNAcentral is "partial 16S ribosomal RNA". It matches the Rfam family "Bacterial small subunit ribosomal RNA", at positions 338 to 795 of the family's 1533-position model. The record is from RNAcentral.